Small nuclear RNA from Leptonychotes weddellii (Weddell seal), 102 nucleotides. Lineage: Eukaryota; Metazoa; Chordata; Mammalia; Carnivora; Phocidae. The record is from RefSeq and is a predicted model, not a curated record.
GUGCUCGCUUUGACAGCACAUUAACUGCAGAUGAUGCAGAGAAGAUUAGUGUGGCCCCUGCACAAGGAUGACACGUAAAUUCGUGAAGCAUUCCAUAUUAAA